GUCAACGCUGUAAACGAUGGGCACUAGGUGUGGGGGUGUCGACUCCCUCCGUGCCGAAGCUAACGCAUUAAGUGCCCCGCCUGGGGAGUACGGCCGCAAGGCUAAAACUCAAAGGAAUUGACGGGGGCCCGCACAAGCAGCGGAGCAUGUGGUUUAAUUCGACGCAACGCGAAGAACCUUACCUGGGCUUGACAUGUUCCUGAUCUCCCUGGAAACAGGGCUUCCCUUCGGGGCAGGAUCACAGGUGGUGCAUGGCUGUCGU
Molecule: ribosomal RNA, 262 nt
Filed under: uncultured bacterium
Lineage: Bacteria
Description: partial 16S ribosomal RNA
Rfam family: Bacterial small subunit ribosomal RNA
Source: RNAcentral